Molecule: ribosomal RNA, 493 nt
Filed under: uncultured bacterium
Lineage: Bacteria
Description: bacterial SSU rRNA
Rfam family: Bacterial small subunit ribosomal RNA
Source: RNAcentral
AAAGGAAUAGACGGGGGCCCGCACAAGCAGUGGAGCAUGUGGUUUAAUUCGAAGCAACGCGAAGAACCUUACCAAGACUUGACAUCCCGCUGACCGCUCUAGAGAUAGAGUUUCCCUUCGGGGCAGCGGUGACAGGUGGUGCAUGGUUGUCGUCAGCUCGUGUCGUGAGAUGUUGGGUUAAGUCCCGCAACGAGCGCAACCCCUAUGUUGUGUUGCCAUCAUUUAGUUGGGCACUUACAACAGACUGCCGGUGACAAACCGGAGGAAGGCGGGGAUGACGUCAAAUCAUCAUGCCCCUUAUGUCUUGGGCUACACACGUGCUACAAUGGGCGGUACAAAGAGACGCGAGACCGCGAGGUGGAGCCAAUCUCAUAAAGCCGUUCGUAGUUCGGAUUGCAGGCUGCAACUCGCCUGCAUGAAGCCGGAAUUGCUAGUAAUCGCGGAUCAGCAUGCCGCGGUGAAUUCGUUCCCGGGCCUUGCACACACCGCCCGU